AGUUGGAUGCUGAAACUUGCAGUCACACAAGGACUUGAACCUAGAGCUUUUCUAAAGCCCGUACUCUUUCCAGUACCCUGAGCCAGGGGAGCCAGCGGGCAGAAAUGACGUGUGAGGUACCCUCUCUCUCUUCACUUCCAUGUGAUCUGUUACUCAUUUUGUCAAGACAUCCUGGGUCCCAGAGACCACUCUUAUUCCCAGGUGUGUGACCUCCUCCUACAGACUACAGUGGGAAAGACACCAUCUCCAGGUGCCAGGUGCUACACAAGAUACUGGCUAUAGCAGCGAACAGGACAGCCCGUCUCAUCCUCAUGGAGGUCACAGGACAAUGAGAAGAAAGACUUUUUUAUUUUUAUUUUUUUGAGACGGAGUUUUGCUCUUGUUGCCGAGGCUGGAGUGCAGUGGUGUGAUCUCGACUCACUGCAACCUCCGCCUCCCAAGUUCAAGCAAUUAUCCUGCCUCAGGCCUCUUGAGUAGCUGGGAUUACAGGCACCUGCCACCACUCCUGGCUAAUUUUUUGUAUUUUUAGUAGAGACAGGGGUUUCAUCAUGUUGGCCAGGCUGGUCUCGAACUCCUGACCUCAGGUGAUCCACCCACCUCGGCCUCCCAAAGUGCAGGGAUUACAGGCAUGAGCCAUCGAACCCGGCCCAAGAAGAAAGACAUUGAACAAGUAAUUACAGGGUAUUGGGUGUUAUGAAAGAAAAGCAUGGUACUGUAUAAUGAGGUCAUCUAAUUUAGUCUGGGGUGACAAGGAAUGCCUACUAAAGAAGGUAUCGUUUAAGACAUACCUGGGGAAUAGCGGUAGUGAAAAUAGAAGCUCCAGAAAUGCAGGGACCAUGGCUGACAUGUUUACCAUGCCAGUGUCUGGCAUGGAAGAGGCCCAAUUCCUUUGGUUGAAAGGAUGAAGUAAUCUAGCUGAAUAAAGGGUGUGUGCGUGCACGCAGGUGUGUUUGUAGUUAACCUUCCUUUAGCUCAGCUUAGGAAACAGCUUUUGUAAAACUGCGUAACUAGUAGUAGGUGAGAGAGGAAUACGAAUGAUAUACACACCAUUAAAGACAACUUACUAACAGCAUGA
RNAcentral lists this long non-coding RNA (1075 nucleotides) under Homo sapiens (human). Its description in RNAcentral is "HSALNT0104083". The record is from RNAcentral. Lineage: Eukaryota; Metazoa; Chordata; Mammalia; Primates; Hominidae.